Brassica napus (rape) is the source of this 1793-nucleotide RNA transcript. It is a transcript of the gene named transcription factor bHLH92, with no coding region annotated. Lineage: Eukaryota; Viridiplantae; Streptophyta; Magnoliopsida; Brassicales; Brassicaceae. The record is from RefSeq and is a predicted model, not a curated record. The transcript has 3 exons.
GCACAACAUCAAACCACAACUCGAGAUCCUUAAAGCAGUGAGAAAGUGAGAGAAAGAUGGAUAACUUCUUUCUAGAUUCCAUUUGCGAAGAAGAAGACAUAUUCUGGGAUCUGAUCGCCGGUGAUGUCUCCGGCAACGCUGACAAUACCGUAAGUGUACUAAACAGAAGCGCUUUUAGGUCAUACGUGACGGACACGGAGCAGACGAUGGUAUCUUCUUCAUCGUCGGUGAACGUGAACAAAAGAAUGUUGAAUCUUUUGAGAAAGAUUUGGGAAGAGAAGAAAAAUGCGUUAGCGCCGGAGAAGGAGAGAUGCCGACAACAUAUGAUGAAAGAGAGGACGAGAAGAAUGAAACAAAAACAGAGUUACUUAGCUCUGCAUUCUCUAUUACCAUUUGCCACUAAGAAUGACAAAAAUUCGAUUGUUGAAAAAGCGGUCGAUCAAAUUGGGAAAUUAGACGAAUAUAAGAAAGAACUGGAGAGAAGAAUGAAUGUGUUGGAGGCAAAAUCAGCAACGGAUCAUGAUAAAAUGACUGGAACAAAGACUAGGUUUAGUCUACAAGAACCCUUGUCUGGGAUCGAUUCAAUGGUAGAAAUUCUUCAAUGUCUUAAAUCAAUGGGGACAAAACUCAAAACGGUCCAAGCCAAUUUCUCUCCUCACGAAUUCUCUGCAACCAUGAACAUUGAGACUCAGGUAUAUGUCCAUUUCAUUUUUUUUCCAAGGUUUUUGGACUAUUAUAUAUUAAAACAGAAGUCACAACUUUGAUUCAUGUGUGAUUUUUAAAAAAAUGGAUCUAAUGGACUUAUUCCUAGAAAAUCAUUUUACAUUUAAUCUCUAAUCUUAUCAUUUAAAUUUUGGGCCUACCAGAAAUUUUUAUUGGGUUAUCAAUAACUGGAUUUAAACAAUAGAUGAUUCAUUGGAUUUAUUGGGCUAUCAAUAAAAUGUUUAAUUAUUUACUCGAUAAUAUAAAUCUAUGAAGCGAAAAGUUUAAUUUUUAAAAAAAAUUCUAAAUUUGUGAAAUGUUACAAUAUCUUUGAGUAUGACAAUAAAAUAAUAUUUUACUAAUCUUUAUAUAUAUAGUUACGAUUUUAAUAAUGAAAUAAUAAUCCGAAAAUAUAUAUAUAGAAAAAGAUACAAAUACAUGUGAAAGUUUAAAAUAAUUUAUUCGAUAAAAAAAAUAUACCGUAAACUUAUUAUGUUUUAAAAAUUGAUAGACACAUAUAUUAUAAUAUAUACCAAUUUAGAAUUGAAAACAAAAUAUUUAUAUAAAAAUAAAUGAAAACAAAAAUCUGCGCGGUUGUGCGGGUCGAGAUCUAGUUAUUAUUAUUAUUGAUAUUGAGAUUUUGGAGAUCUCUACAUUUUCCCUGUUAUACUUUUCUAAUUGAGCUAGUAGCCUUAAAUAAUAUUUAGGUUUGUAUGAUUACAAAACAUGUAGAAACCAAAAAUAUACUGCGAUUAGGUAUAAUUCAGUUCACGUUUCUAUCGCUAUGAUAUACAUGUACACCACCGUAUAUAGUGCUGGUAUAUCAAUAGUUAUGUGAAAAUUUGCUUUGUAGGUUGAAGUGACGGUCGUCUAAGAAAAUAUCAGAAAAAGUAUCUUCAAUUAAAUAAUACGAGGAGAGGAGGUGGAAGAGAGAGUGGAGAGAAGACUCCAAGAAACUGAAUGGAAGCUCCUCGUUCUCGCAGAAGCUUCGCGUAUCGAAGACUACUGAGUUCCUUUUGUAUUGACUUUCUGCUUUGUCGAAAAGAAAAGUAACAAUAUUCUUUUUUUUUUUUAAUAAAUUCUAUCGGCUA